AAGACUAUACUUUCAGGGAUCAUUUCUAUAGUAUGUUACUAGAGAAGUUUCUCUGAUCGUGUAGAGUACCGGAAACCACGAGGAGGAGCUGAGUGGUCUCUCCUGAGCGUGAAGCAGGCUCUGGGUGUUGCUUUUUUCGUAACUGCCCUUUGCCAUUGAUGAUCGUUCUUAAUCCUCCUUGGAGAUUAAGAGGGAGAGAACACUGUCUGAGUGGUU
Molecule: small nucleolar RNA, 216 nt
Organism: Spermophilus dauricus (Daurian ground squirrel)
Lineage: Eukaryota; Metazoa; Chordata; Mammalia; Rodentia; Sciuridae
Source: Ensembl